GUCUACAGCCAUACCACCCUGAACACACCCAAUCUCGUCUGAUCUCAGAAGCUAAGCAGGGUCAGGCCUUGUUAGUGCUUGGAUGGGAGAUCUGCAGAAAGUGGAAAUUACCUUAUUUU
This 119-nucleotide ribosomal RNA is filed under the name Chinchilla lanigera (long-tailed chinchilla). The record is from RNAcentral. Lineage: Eukaryota; Metazoa; Chordata; Mammalia; Rodentia; Chinchillidae.